Molecule: long non-coding RNA, 1495 nt
Organism: Osmia lignaria (orchard mason bee)
Lineage: Eukaryota; Metazoa; Arthropoda; Insecta; Hymenoptera; Megachilidae
Source: RefSeq, a predicted model, not a curated record
CGAUAAUGUACUUUUAUAUUCAUAUAUGAAGUUGGCAAUGUCGUAUCAGCUACUGUACGAAUAUCGUUAUGACCAUUUAAUUGUUUUUCAAGAUACAUCGGUAACAUCGUAAUAUCCGUUGAAACAUUCCUUGGAAGAUAAUAUAUAAUUAAUCCCUCGUCGUUCUUCAAACAAGCAGUUUCAACGAUGGAUCGCAUCACGAAUUAAUUAAGACCACUUGUCAACACCGAUUGUUAAUGCAAAUAUCCCUCUGCAAAGAAUCAUCGCGACAUAAAUGAAUUCCUGCGGAUCAUCGUUGGACAGCUGUGCCAUGCUGGUCGAGAGAGGAGAAGAAAUGCGAAAGAUGGAACAACAUAAAUUCGAAUGGACGGUCGUGAAGCCUGACGGUUCUUUCGAUGACCCGUGGUCCACUCUCUGAUCCUUUGCAGUUAACACUCCCUCCCGUUGGCUUUGGAAAGAAAGGAAAGAAAAAAACAAAAAAACGAUAACCCCAGAUACCGUAGUGGCCACAUACGUGCUCGUUAUCGUUCUCGUAAUAGUCGGACGAUCGUGUUGCUAACCGAGGUACUCGGGUUAUCUGGCUUGUUUGUCCUUCGCCACAAUUUCGUUACGUUUCUUCGUGCUUUUCCUCGCUUGUUCUUUCGUCAGGAUAUCACGUUAAUUCGCGACCGCGAUGCCGAUAAUUAUUAGUCAUUUCCGUUCUUACCGGUUGAGCAACGAAUAAAGGUUUAGAUUUUAUCAUGGCGCCAACGUUCUUUUGCGACCUCGAGGAAUUCGUUAACGAUUUUGUAGCGAAGAUUAUAACGUAUGAUCGAUAGAUCUUUCAACUAGAGAUUAUGCGCAAAGGAAACUAUUUCGGUGAAUUUCGUGUAACAGUGGACAAGGAGGGGGUGUCGUAUAUAUUUUUAAUGCACCCUACGUGGCUGCGCCAUUGCCACGAGAAAUAACUGGGAAAGCGUUGAACCCGACACGUGGAAAUUCUAUUUCUUUUAGUAUUCCUUAAUCGCGUCUCGGCUGCUUUUCGGCCAUCAUUUCGGCCGAGAAACGAAAUCCUCGACCGGUGAUUACCGCUAGAGUGUGUCACUUGUUAACAAGUACCGAUAAGAAUGCAAAAUACUUAAGUAGAAUGUAAUCAGAGCAGCAAUUUACUCGAACAAGUAACAACUCACGUGACAAUAUCCAAGUAGCAACAUUUCGCAUGGAAUUUAUCGAUGAACCGUUUAAAUCAACUCCACUGAUGAUCAAUGCAAUAGGAUAGCGCGCUGCUGGGUUAUAUUAAUUACUGUUAAUGAGCGAAACGUUGGAUUCAGGAUUAUACUUGUAAAGGAGACAUUUAUUGGUCAUAAAAGGCAUAUUGGCUGUAUCUUGAAACUCGAAGAGGACAGAGUCAGAUGGUUUGAUGGCAGCACGUUUAGGAACCACCGUACAAUGGGGGCGUACGUCGUUGACAAACAUGGGAGCGGCGUAUUGGGUCGAUGGUUAAAAAAAAAAAAAA